UCCUGGUCAAUUAGGAGAAGUAAAAGUCGUAACCAGGUUUCCGUAGGGUGAACCUGCGGAAGGAUCAUUAUCGUACAAAAUGUGUAGAGGCAUGCCGGGGUUGUCGCUGACCAAAAAGUUGUGCACGCCACAGUGUGUCCUCUCACAUAACAAUCCAUCUCACCCUUUGUGCACCACCGCGUGGGCACCCUCUGGGAUCGCACCGAUCUCAGAGGGGACUCGCGUUUUCACACAAAAACCCCCCUUUGAAAAAGUAUAGAAUGUCCUCAUUUACGCAAUCAAUACAACUUUCAACAACGGAUCUCUUGGCUCUCGCAUCGAUGAAGAACGCAGCGAAAUGCGAUACGUAAUGUGAAUUGCAGAAUUCAGUGAAUCAUCGAAUCUUUGAACGCACCUUGCGCCCCUUGGUAUUCCGAGGGGCACACCCGUUUGAGUGUCGUGAAAAUCUCAACCUCCUUGGUUUCUUCUGGAGAUCAAAGGAGGCUUGGACUUUGGAGGCCUUUGCUGGCAUCGCUCUCCUUUGAAAGGUGGCCAGCUCCUCUUGAAUGAAUUAGCGGGGUCCUCUUUGCCGAUCCUUGACAUGUGAUAAGAUGUUUCCGUGUCUUGGUUUCUGGCUCUGUUGCUUUUGGGACCCGCUUCCAAUCGUCUCAACAUCGAGACAAUGUUCGAGCCUGUUGCCCUUCUCGGGAAACGCUCUCGACCCCACGAACCCUUGGCCUCAAAUCGGGUGAAAAUACCCGCUUAACUUAAACAUAACAUA
RNAcentral lists this ribosomal RNA (760 nucleotides) under Lactarius glabrigracilis. RNAcentral describes it as "eukaryotic LSU rRNA". The stretch from base 286 to 439 matches the Rfam family "5.8S ribosomal RNA". The record is from RNAcentral. Lineage: Eukaryota; Fungi; Basidiomycota; Agaricomycetes; Russulales; Russulaceae.